CCUACGGGUGGCAGCAGUGGGGAAUAUUGCACAAUGGGGGAACCCCUGAUGCAGCGACGCCGCGUGAGUGAAGAAGUCUUUCGGUAUGUUAAGCUCUUUUAGUAGGGAAGAAAAUGACGGUACCUGAUUAAGAAGCGCCGGCUAAAUACGUGACAGCAGCCGCGGUGACACGUCGGGGGCCAGCGUUAUCCGGAUUUACUGGGUGUAAAGGGAGAGUUGUCGGCAGCACAAGUUUGGAGGGAAAGGCCGGGGGUUAACCCCGGAACUGCUUUGGAAACUGUUCAUCUAGAGUGGAGGAGAGGUAAGUGGAAUGCGUAGUGUAGCGGUGAAAUGCAUAGAUAUUAGGAAGAACACCGGUUGCGAAGGCAGCUUACCGGACUGUAACUGACGUUGAGGCACGAAAGCGUGGGGAGCAAACAGGAUUAGAUACCCCUGUAGUC
Molecule: ribosomal RNA, 440 nt
Filed under: uncultured bacterium
Lineage: Bacteria
Description: partial 16S ribosomal RNA
Rfam family: Bacterial small subunit ribosomal RNA
Source: RNAcentral